AAGUCGUAACAAGGUUUCCGUAGGUGAACCUGCGGAAGGAUCAUUACAAGAAAAGUCCAAUUAAAAUGUACAGGAACUACACCUUGCAUUUGGCAGAAUCGAUCGCGUGCCCAAGGCUGAGGUACCCCCUCUCCCCGCGGUUCGCGGUUCGAAUUCUGUGGAAACCCUUUGUGAAAACCCUCCGUUGCCUCGGCGGCACCUCCCGCGCGGUUAGCGCUGCGCGGGGGAGGUCAGUCCGCCGGCGGCACCAACCAAAACCCAUAACCAUUUUGAAGAAGCUGUCUGAAAACAAAAAGUCGAAUGACUAUAAAACUUUCAACAACGGAUCUCUUGGUUCCC
Molecule: unclassified non-coding RNA, 339 nt
Filed under: fungal sp.
Lineage: Eukaryota; Fungi
Description: partial internal transcribed spacer region
Rfam family: Eukaryotic small subunit ribosomal RNA (bases 1-46)
Source: RNAcentral